CGAAGGGCGCAAGCGUUAAUCGGAAUUACUGGGCGUAAAGCGUGCGUAGAUGGUUCAUUAAGUCGGAUGUGAAAGCCCCGGGCUCAACCUGGGAACUGCAUCCGAUACUGGUGGACUAGAGUGCGGUAGAGGAUGGCGGAAUUCCCGGUGUAGCGGUGAAAUGCGUAGAGAUCGGGAGGAACAUCCGUGGCGAAGGCGGCCAUCUGGACCAGCACUGACGUUGAGGCACGAAAGCGUGGGGAGCAAACAGGAUUAGAUACCCUGGUAGUCCACGCCCUAAACGAUGUCGACUGGAUGUUGGGUGCAACUUGGCACUCAGUAUCGAAGCUAACGCGUUAAGUCGACCGCCUGGGGAGUACGCGCGCAAGCGUG
This 372-nucleotide ribosomal RNA is filed under the name uncultured organism. RNAcentral's name for it is "bacterial SSU rRNA". It matches the Rfam family "Bacterial small subunit ribosomal RNA", at positions 526 to 896 of the family's 1533-position model. The record is from RNAcentral.